This 775-nucleotide ribosomal RNA is filed under the name uncultured bacterium. RNAcentral's name for it is "bacterial SSU rRNA". It matches the Rfam family "Bacterial small subunit ribosomal RNA", at positions 8 to 796 of the family's 1533-position model. The record is from RNAcentral.
AGAGUUUGAUCCUGGCUCAGAAUGAACGUUGGCGGCGUGGAUUAGGCAUGCAAGUCGAACGGGCCCGGUCGCAAGAUCGGGUCAGUGGCGCAAGGGUGAGUAAGGCGACGGCAACCAACCCCAUGGUUGGGCAUAGCCGCGGGAAACUGCGGGUAAUUCCCAGCGAUGUUCGUGUCGGGCAUCCGAUGUGAACCAAAGUUCCAAUGCCGUGGGACGGGCCGUCGUGGUAUUAGGUUGUUGGCGGGGUAACGGCCCACCAAGCCUGUGAUGCCUACCGGGCGUGCGAGCGUGGCCCGGCACACUGGGACUGAGACACUGCCCAGACUCCUACGGGAGGCUGCAGUCGAGAAUCUUCGGCAAUGGGCGCAAGCCUGACCGAGCGACGCCGCGUGGAGGAUGAAGGCCUUCGGGUUGUAAACUCCUGUCGAGGGGGAGGAAGGCGCAAGCUUGACCUAUCCCUGGAGGAAGCACGGGCUAAGUUCGUGCCAGCAGCCGCGGUAAGACGAACCGUGCGAACGUUAUUCGGAAUCACUGGGCUUAAAGCGCGUGUAGGCGGAUGGGGACGUCGGUCGCUGAAAUCCCCCGGCUCAACCGGGGAACGGGCACCGAAACGCCCCGUCUCGAGGGACGUAGGGGGACCUGGAACUUCCGGUGGAGCGGUGAAAUGCGUUGAGAUCGGAAGGAACGCCCGUGGCGAAAGCGAGGUCCUGGACGUUUUCUGACGCUGAGACGCGAAAGCUAGGGUAGCGAACGGGAUUAGAUACCCCCGUAGUCC